Long non-coding RNA from Alosa sapidissima (American shad), 125 nucleotides. RefSeq lists it as uncharacterized. The record is from RefSeq and is a predicted model, not a curated record. NCBI's taxonomy places the organism in Eukaryota, Metazoa, Chordata, Actinopteri, Clupeiformes, Clupeidae. The transcript is spliced from 3 exons.
CCGGAGUGGGUAAUCGGGAGAAUCAGGAGAAUUCCCGGUGGGCCGCUUCACUUUUGGGCCGGUCGAGGGGAAACUAUUGACAUUUGCCACGUUAAUUUAUCUUCUCUAAAGUUUGCUACUUUUGU